RNAcentral lists this unclassified non-coding RNA (274 nucleotides) under Hevea brasiliensis (rubber tree). The record is from RNAcentral. Lineage: Eukaryota; Viridiplantae; Streptophyta; Magnoliopsida; Malpighiales; Euphorbiaceae.
ACGGAAUCUACUAAAUUAUGAAGCCAAAAAUCACAUUUCUCCAACCAAUGAUCAGAGUCUGUCUGUCCCUAUGCGGUAAUUACCAUCUCUUCCAUCGCUACAAGCUACAUCAGUAAAUGUGUUCAUCAAUGAUGGGCCUUGGCUUCAGCUUUCGCAUGUGACUUGGCCUUUACCUUCAGAACCUUGAGCUUAAUGCUUCCGUAAACCAAACCAAAGGUGAAUGCUGAUGCACGGGCUACCAGAGCGAGGGAGCUGGUGCCGGAGUAAGGGCCAG